GGCUUCUGUGGUGUAGUGGUAUUACGAGCCGCUUCGACUGAGUGAGACGUAGGUUCAACUCCUGUCUGAGUUCG
Non-coding RNA from Parelaphostrongylus tenuis, 74 nucleotides. NCBI's taxonomy places the organism in Eukaryota, Metazoa, Nematoda, Chromadorea, Rhabditida, Metastrongylidae. The record is from the annotation of a GenBank genome assembly.